Molecule: non-coding RNA, 6724 nt
Organism: Oryza sativa Japonica Group (Japanese rice)
Lineage: Eukaryota; Viridiplantae; Streptophyta; Magnoliopsida; Poales; Poaceae
Source: RefSeq, a predicted model, not a curated record
UGGCACCUGGGAUGGGAAGGAAGGUGAGGAGAAGAGAUAGGGUUAGAGAGGUAGUGGGCUUUUCUUUGCUAUUGGGCCAAUGGGCCUGAAAUAGUGGGUGGUGGGAGGGUUCAGUUUGGGCUUCUUUUGAGUUUUGAAUGGGUAUAAGCAUUUUUCCUUUUUUCCUAUAUAUACAUAUGGAAUAUAUACUUCAUAUAUGCAUUUUUUUUUCAAAAAUCUUGGGUAUUCAUUUGAAUACCCAUGAAUUGAAGUGGGCCCGCCCCUGAAUGGGAACGCGUCAUCACUCAUCACCCCCUCCCUUUUUCUUCUUCUCUCCCUUCCUCGUCUCUCUCCCAUGGGGGUCGCAUAAAAGGUAGGCAAUCUCGAAUAGUCUAAUCCCAAACCGAAGAACCAUAAAAAAAUCAUCUGUAAGUCCGACCGAGCGACGACCUGCGUCCCCGCACGCGUGAUGUGUUCGUCACAUACGCCGCCCAAAGGGAAAAAAAAUUAGAGAUCAAAUCAAAAUCCUAAUCACGUACAGCGGACAAAUCCCAAAAUCAAAUAUCGAUUAAAAACCCAAUUGUGGCAAAUAACAUCCAGAGUCAUCAAAUAACACAAAAAAAAACCAAACCAAAAUUAAGAAGUUUAAUGUAUAGUGAUCCAGACAUUUUUUUUCUGGUUGGUAUAAAAAAAGGUAUAUAUAUAGGACAUUUAGAUGGAUGUAGAGAAUUUAUUCCAAGUGAGACCGCUCAUUAGAGCAAGUUUAAUAGUGUAGCCAACUAUGGGCUGCAAAUCAUUCAUAAUCUAUUAUAUACUAAAAGUCCAUUAAACUUCUUACAAAUGCUCCUAAACUGCCACGUGGCGCUCCUACAAACGCUCCUAAACCGACACGUGGCAAUUUCAAUCUAACCGUCGGUUUUCACUUAAAUUUAUGGGUCCGUUAUUUUAAACCAUUAGAUUAGAUCUAUUUAAAAGGUCCCGCUUCAGAUUAUUAUCAGAUAUAUACAAGAUAUUUUUACGAGAAAAAUUGGCAUGUAUUUCGAUCAGAUAUAAACCCUGUUCGCUUAAGGAAAACAAAUCAACAUAUGUACGUACAGCUGUAGAGCGAAAACAAAAAUACUACACCGUAUGUUGAUAGAACCUAUAAUAGACAGUCUCUAAAAAUAAGAUUUUCUAUACAUGGCACUUUCUAAUCUAACCGUCGAUUUUAACUUAAUUUGGUAGCUCCGUUAUUUUAAACAUUAGAUUAGAUCUAUUUAAAAGGUUCUGCUUCACCUCAUUGUCAAGUAUAUACCAGAUAUUUUUUUUAGAGAAAAAUUGACCUAUUUCGAUCGGAUAUAAACCCUGUUCGCUUAAAGAAAAAUAAAUCAAAAUUCGUACGUACAGCUAUAGAGCCCAAAAAAAAAAUACACCCUGCAUGGAUACAACCAUUAAAUAAUAGAUGGUCUCUAUAAAAAUAUUUUUUAUACUAUAAAAUAAAACUUAUUACUUCACAAAUAUAUACGGUUAAACUAGAUUAAUAUAAUAUAUCAAAUCAAUCGUCUUUAAAUAUCCAUUUUUAAAAUUAUUUUUGAAAUAUAUAUCUAACUUAUAAUCUGUUGUAUUCCUUUAAUUAAAUAAACUAUUGAUCACAUAUAAUAGUUAUAUUAUAGUGCUAAAUACAUGGGGCCGACAUAUAAUAUUUCACGUCAUAAUUAUUUUUAAAUAACUUAGCCAAUAUAUAAUAAUUAAUGUCAUUAUAAUCUUUUUUUAAAUAGUUUCACAUGAUAGAAAGGAUCAACAUGGUCUCAAAUAUAGCUUGACAAAUAACACUAAUUCAAAUCCACAUGCAGGGAGAGUGGAACAACAUUGUGGUUUUUCAAUUAGAUUUGAUUUAAUUUUAGUCAAUGUGAGAUUAAGAUUCUCAUUUUUUUUAUAACUUUUUAGAAUAAUUUGAUUGGAAUUUCCAAACUAUGAUCUUGCCAUAAUACAACCCCUUAAUCCAUCACGGGAAUUAUGGUCAUAUAUAUCUUUUCUUUGCCAAAUAGAUAUGGUAACAAAUCAACAAUCCUAUUCAUUCAACUUUUAUCAUAUAUUUUCUUAUAGUAGAUGAUCUAUACCAUACACCCUACCAAAGUGACUAUAAGUGCACUCUAACGAAUUAAUUACUUCAAAUAAUUUUGGAAAAAAUAAAUAUAUUCUUUGGAUUAGCAAAGAUGUCUGUCGCGAUCAUAUAUCUGUUUAGCUAUAACUUUUUAGUGAUCAGCCUCGCUCAUUUCAAAAGAGAACAUUGUAUCUAUAUCAUAAAAAAUUAAGCAGUACUGAUUAACACCGUAAACGAUUGUGUCUACACAAAAUUAAAAGAAACAAUUUUUCAUUGGAAAAAUACUUUCAUCACGUACCUUCUCUCUUUUUAUUCCUUGAAGGUCACCAAGCAUGCUAUGCAAAAUAAACCCAUUUCUAUACUUUUAUAUGCUCAUAUUUUUUUAACAAAUACUACGAAUAUAUUGAAAAAAAAAACAAGUAGAAGCGGAUAGAUCUUUUUUUAAGUAGAAGCCGAUAGAUCUUAAUAAAUCAAUAAAGCUCUUAACUGAGACAUAUUAAACUUAUAAAGCACAAACAAAAGAUAAUGGUAAUAUUGUUUCACCAAAUUUACUUAAUGCGAUGGACCUAUUAUUUUAUACCAUCUUAAGAACUCAAAACCAUUUAUCUAUGUUAAAAAACAAACUCCCUUCACCCAACCCAACCAUAUGGAUCCUCUCCACUGCUAUUAUAUGUGCAUGUACUCUCUCCGAUUCAACUUCUUCCUCUUCCUUUCUCUAACUAACAACUUGUAAACAUAAAAACAAUCAAUAACGAGAAAGCUGAAAAAUCAUAAUUAUUAAUCCUUUAGUUUGUUUGAACUAUUGAUUUAUUUAUAAUCAAAUAAAUAAUUUAAGAUCCAUAUUAAUCAUAUUUUUUACUUUAUAAAAAAUUAAAAUAUAUCAUUUGAACAUAGACCCCUGUCCUUUGUAUGCCAACCAAAUAAUAACAACAUUAAUGAAACAACAUAAAUAAAUAAAAUGACAGCAUGCAUCCCGUGCAUCAUAGGAACUAGAAAACAUAGAUUCUUUAUCUUUCGUAUACUUAGGAUUAUUAUUGUUGUAAUUUACUUUUUGGUUUGGAUAGUUUUCGCAACUAUUAUAUCUAUUUACACAAAUCACUCUAAAUCCUUUGCAGCGCUCUUAACUCACCACGUGUCAAGUACUAAAAAUUAGAACAAAAAAAAUUCCAAGGGAAAAAAACAUUUGACAAUGGGUUUUCACUUAAGUCAGUGGAUUCAUUAUUUUCAACCAUUAGGUCUUCCUUUAGAAAAAAUCUUAAGCCGCUAUGUGUCACGUCUUCAAAAUUAGAAAAAUCUUAGAAACUAUAAGAAAAAAGCAAAACAUAUGAUCAUUGGUUUUAGUUAAAUUAUUUAGAAAAAUAAAGUCCCCAAUGCAUCGCCCUUCCCAGAACAUGCAUUCACACAACACUGAACGCCCCCUUCCCCCUUGGCUCACACUCUCCACUCUCCACUACUCCCCCCUUCUAAUUUUAAGCUAUCAAACUAAAACACAAACUAUUAAUAAUAAUUGCAAAGAUCGUAUUCUUAAGCUAUAAAUCUAAUUUUUAAUUUAAUUGUUGCUCUUUUAAAUAAUCAAACCAAAAAUACAUGAUCCAUAAUGUCUGUAUUUUUAACCUAAAAUGUCUGUAUUCAUAAGUAGAAAAAUGUCAAUAGGGAUUGAAUUAAAUCAAUUGGACAAAAUAUAAAAAAUUUGUAAAACAAAUAGUUAUUACUUUUCAAAAACUGGAUAACCAUUGUACAAUGUUCGAUUGCCAUAACCAUCUUUAAGUGCUUAGAUGUUAAUGGCCUUCCAUCCAUCCUACACCAUGGCAUUACGAGUUUCUCAAUGUAUUAUUGCAUAUACAAGACACAUUAAGGUAGCAGUGCGUAGAAGUACGUAGUUGUGGUUAAAAAGUUAUGCAUUGCUACUAUUAACUUUAAAUUUAGGACUCAUAUUGGCUAGAUAUUUUUUUUAGAAAACGCUAUAGAUCACAUAUAUAAUAGGGAAGCGAGGUAUACAAUAUGUAUAUCUCCUAUGUAUUUAUUGACACGUUCUUUCCAGAAAAUGAAGAAUUAUUGACAAUUGCUUGUAGUAAUGAAUUAAAUAUUAUAUAGUUCAAAUCUUACAAAAAUAUUGUAAAAAUUAUCUAAGCAAUGUAGAUGGAGAAAAUUUAUGAAGAAAUUAAACUUUUCAAGCGUGACAGGUGUCAUCCGGUAGAUAUUCCACCUUACAAGUUAGUCAAGCGUAUCCUAUUUUACGUGCCCGCGCGAAUGCGCGGGCUACCUUCCUAGUUAAUUUAAUAGCCAAUUCAUACAAUUGCCUAUUAUCUGGUCCCACAUGUCAUGCACACAUGUAUAUUGGAGUCCGUGCUGAAGCUAGCUACAAAUCUAUAGUCCGCAGCUCUUCUCUUCCUCUUUUUAUCUCCUUAAAAUAUGUUUGUAGCUGAUUUAUACCCUGUACUUGCUUUUAGAGCAAGUUUAAUAGUAUUCCAAUUCAUUUAUAGCCAAUCUAAUAGCCAAUUCAUACCAUAGUUGCUUACUAUACUACUAAUAUAUGGUCUCACCUGUCAUACACACAUUGCGUUUUGGAGUCCGCGCUGCAGCUGGCUACAGAUCUGUAGCCCGCUGUUUUUCUCUCUCAUUUUUUAUCUCAUAAAAAUAUGAUUAUAGCUAGCUAAUAGUGCGUCCCACGCAAAAGCACACGCACAAACAAAAAAAAAAAGAAAGCACACGCAUAAACAAACUACACACACAAAAAAAAAAAAAAAAGCACACGCCGUUAUAUUCUCCACCAACUAAACGCCGUGGUCGUCGUCGCUUCGUAUUCCAUUUUUCCGCUUUCCUCUCUCCCCCGAAUCCCCAAUUCGCCCUAAACCCUGCUAGAACAGCGGCGAGCAGUGUCCUGCCAUGGCCACCGCCGCCUGCGGCGAGAGCCCUUCGCGGUUGGGCUCCGCCUCCGCCAUCGUCGCCGACACGGAGACCAGGUACCACCUCCUCAAGAUCGGCUGCUACUCGCGCACCAAGGCGACGACCCCCACCGGCUCCUUCCUCAGUUCCGGCCAGUUCACCGUCGGCGGCCACCGCUGGCGCAUCAAUUACUACCCCAAUGGGGAAAGCGCCGACUCCGCGGAUUACAUAUCGCUUUACCUCUUGCUAGACGACAAGGCCACCAAUAGCAGUGUGAAGGUGCAGGCACAGUUCAAGUUCCAGAUUAGUUCCACCGACCAGGUGAAGAACACACCUUCAUUGGCAUCCACGAAUGUAAAUACAUAUGGUGAGGAUUCUAGCUGGUCUUGGGGUCACAGAAAGUUCAUCAAACGGGAAGAUUUCGAGAAGUCCAAUGAUCUCAGGGACGACUCCUUCACCAUCCGGUGCGACGUAGCGGUUAUCGGAGAGAUCCGAACUGAGAAGACGACCGAGAUCCCAUCAGCCACAACAUUCGUCACUGUACCCCCGUCUGACCUGAACCAGCAGCUCGUCGACCUGCUGGAGACCGAGAAGGGCGCCGACGUGGUGUUUGAGGUCAGCGGUGAGACGUUCGCGGCGCACAGAUGCUUGCUAGCAGCCCGGUCGCCGGUAUUCAGCGCGGAGCUCUACGGCUUGAUGAAGGAGGGCGACACCGCCGGAGUCGUGCGUAUCGAAGACAUGGAGGCGCAGGUGUUCAAGCUGUUGCUCCGCUUCAUGUACACCGACUCGUUACCAAAGAUGGAGGAGGAAGACGUCAUGUGGCAACAUCUGCUUGUCGCGGCAGAUCGGCAUGAUCUACAGAGGCUCAAGCUGAUCUGCGAGGACAGGUUGUGCAACUACAUUGGCGUCAGCACGGUGUUGAACAUCCUGGUGCUUGCUGAUCAGCAUCACUGCGACGGGCUGAAGAAGGCGUGUUUUAGUUUUCUUGGCUCACUGGAGAACCUGAGUGCUGUUGUCACCGGCGAUGGCUUGGAGCAUCUGAGCAGGAGCUACCCCUCUCUUAUGAAAGAACUAUUUGUUGUGAUGGCACUUCCACCGAAUCAUGGUAGAUAUGUUAUCUUCUUUUAGCACGCAGGCAUGGUGCUGUACUCCCUGUGUAUAUAUGCUUUUGUUAUCAGGGGAUCCAGGAAAAUUGCCACCAAUCGAGCGUGUGACUGUGGAGAAUGCUCAAGGGGUGGAUCACUGCCCCGUUUCAGCUUCCGGCAGAGAGUGGUGCUCAGCUUGUGGACUGGUGGCUGAUGGCAAGGUUGGUCUUUUGAGCGAGCUACAGGAAUUAAAGCUCUCGUUUCACUCUUCGUGAUGGUUUAUUGGAUGAUUUGGAAGGAGCGUAAUGCCCGGAUCUUCGAGCAGAGAUCGCGCACAGCAGGUCAGCUAUUUAGUGGCAUCAGAGAGAUCAUGAUCUGGAAGGAGGCUGGAAUUUUUCGGCAAUGUGAUUAGCUGCUAAUUUUUCUUUCUCUUUCUUCCUUUUGGGGCGGCACCGCGGCAGCCAUUUGUGUUGUUGCCUGAAUCGGCAGCCUAAUUUAGAACUUGUAAGGUUCCUACCAAACUCUGUUAACCAUUUAAUCUUUAAGUGUCCCCCUGCUCUUUUCCUUUGGUGCUGUGUGAGGGAUGCGUUAGGCUGGAAAGUAGCUCCUUGUUCUUGUGAGGAGGUGCAAAAUUUGAUUCUAGACAAUGUUGUCACGAUAGGAAGUAAUCUUACUGUGAUUGCAGCUGGAA